This 84-nucleotide transfer RNA is filed under the name Ixodes scapularis (black-legged tick). It matches the Rfam family "tRNA". Rfam says of the family: Transfer RNA (tRNA) molecules are approximately 80 nucleotides in length. Their secondary structure includes four short double-helical elements and three loops (D, anti-codon, and T loops). Lineage: Eukaryota; Metazoa; Arthropoda; Arachnida; Ixodida; Ixodidae. The record is from Rfam by way of RNAcentral.
GCAAUCGUGGCCGAGUGGUUAAGGCGAUGGACUAGAAAUCUAUUGGGGCCUUUUCUCGCACGGGUUCGAAUCCUGUCGACUGCG